CUUGAACGUGGGCUAACAUUAUUAGGGCAUAUUCAACUCGUGCUUCUCAAGUUUUAAUCAAUCAGGUUCUCCUAUUGGCUUGUCUAAACUCGCCACAUAACAGCACAUGCAAGUCUCCAGGGAUUGGAAUCCUUAGAGCUACCUGUUCUUGUAUAUAUACUACAGGCAGAGGAUUUGGCUUGGAACAGCUUCUCCCUAAACCGCAUCAGUAAAAGGCUUUCUUCUGUUGAGAAUAGUAUGGCUGCCUCUAUUGCAACCUCUAAAGCCACUUGCCAUGUUCGUUCCAUCAGCCUGCCCGCAAGACUUCAUCCUAUUACUCUAAAUGUUGAGGUGCAUUUGGAUAGAUUAAGAUCGUCGAAAG
This 361-nucleotide long non-coding RNA is filed under the name Manihot esculenta (cassava). Its description in RNAcentral is "long non-coding RNA (MESC_LNC002940)". The record is from RNAcentral. Lineage: Eukaryota; Viridiplantae; Streptophyta; Magnoliopsida; Malpighiales; Euphorbiaceae.